AGUGAACGCUGGCGGUAGGCCUAACACAUGCAAGUCGAACGGCAGCACAGUAAGAGCUUGCUCUUACGGGUGGCGAGUGGCGGACGGGUGAGGAAUACAUCGGAAUCUACUUUUUCGUGGGGGAUAACGUAGGGAAACUUACGCUAAUACCGCAUACGACCUACGGGUGAAAGCAGGGGAUCUUCGGACCUUGCGCGAUUGAAUGAGCCGAUGUCGGAUUAGCUAGUUGGCGGGGUAAAGGCCCACCAAGGCGACGAUCCGUAGCUGGUCUGAGAGGAUGAUCAGCCACACUGGAACUGAGACACGUUCCAGACUCCUACGGGAGGCAGCAGUGGGGAAUAUUGGAAAAGGGGCGCAAGCCUGAUCCAGCCAGACCGCGUGGGUGAAGAAGGCCUGCGGGUUGUAAAGCCCUUUUGUUGGGAAAGAAAAGCAGCAGGUUAAUACCCCGCUGUUCGGACGGUACCCAAAGAAGAAGCACCGGCGAACUGCGU
RNAcentral lists this ribosomal RNA (491 nucleotides) under uncultured bacterium. Its description in RNAcentral is "partial 16S ribosomal RNA". It matches the Rfam family "Bacterial small subunit ribosomal RNA", at positions 29 to 506 of the family's 1533-position model. The record is from RNAcentral.